Lotus japonicus is the source of this 445-nucleotide long non-coding RNA. RefSeq lists it as uncharacterized. The transcript has 3 exons. The record is from RefSeq and is a predicted model, not a curated record. Lineage: Eukaryota; Viridiplantae; Streptophyta; Magnoliopsida; Fabales; Fabaceae.
CCUCUUAUGAAAAAAAAGAGAUCAACAGUGAAAGCAAUCAUAAACGGGUUUGGAACUCUCUCUCUCUCUCUCUCUCUCUCUCUCUCUCUCUCCCUUUUUUUCUCUGCCUUCUUCUUGGUUUCAAACACAACAUCAUCAUCGUCGACACUACAAACCACCACAACAACCUGAGAAAUCAUCAUGCUUCCUCUUUCCCUUCUCAAGACUAGUUUCUCAAGGCCACCUUAUGUUGGUGGAGCUGAAAAAUGGGGAGACUCACAACGGGCAUUUGGUUAAUUACGAUACAUUUGGUUAAUUACGAUACAUGGAUGAAUAUUCAUCUUCGAGAAGUCAUUUGCACCAAUAAAGUAAUGAUCUUUAUCACCAGCCAUUGUUAUUUACUGUCUUGGCAUUUGUUUGUUGCUUGGAAGAACAAGGUGAAUAUGAUGAACAUAUAAUGUUUUAA